GAUCCUGGCUCAGGAUGAACGCUGGCGGCGUGCUUAACACAUGCAAGUCGAACGGGAAAUAUUUCAUUGAGACUUCGGUGGAUUUGAUCUAUUUCUAGUGGCGGACGGGUGAGUAACGCGUGGGUAACCUGCCUUAUACAGGGGGAUAACAGGUCAGAAAUGGCUGCUAAUACCGCAUAAGUCGCACAGAGCUGGCAUGGCUCAGUGUGAAAAACUCCGGUGGUAUAAGAUGGACCCG
Molecule: ribosomal RNA, 238 nt
Filed under: uncultured bacterium
Lineage: Bacteria
Description: partial 16S ribosomal RNA
Rfam family: Bacterial small subunit ribosomal RNA
Source: RNAcentral